Taeniopygia guttata (zebra finch) is the source of this 2533-nucleotide non-coding RNA. Lineage: Eukaryota; Metazoa; Chordata; Aves; Passeriformes; Estrildidae. The record is from RefSeq and is a predicted model, not a curated record.
AGUUUUGUUCUGGGAGCUGAAUAAAUAAGCUUGGUAAAGCUGUUGAGAAUUGAACGAAUCACUACAAAUGUCAGCAAACUUUAUGCUGGUGAAGAGGAAAAGCAGCCUAGAUGUGUGUGUUUGUACUGCAGCUCCUAAAUUUCUGCAGUUAACAUUGGGCUGGUAGUCAGCAAUCCCUGUUUAAGGGAGAGGGUGUCAAAACAUAGGAAAAGUAGUAAAAUCCAACAGUUCCAAGGAACAACCACUUGAGUUGGGCUUUUUAAGCACAAUUAUGACAGUACAAGGAGAUGAUUUUAUUUACUAACUUUGAAGGGCAAGGAACUUAAUUUGACACACAAUUUGAGUCUGUUUCUUUAAGGAGCAAAGUCAUAAUUUUAUCAUGCAAUUAAGAAAUUCUUUUAUAAUUUAUAGUACAAUAUGACUACAACAUAUAGAUGCUAGCAUUAGAAAGAUAAAUCCUGCUGUUUCAUUAACUAUACAUCAUAAAACCAGUGCACCUUCAUUUUGUGUUAUGAAAUAUUUUUGAGUGUGUUAUCAUGAUUUCCAGUAUGUGGCACUAAUACUCAAGGCAUAAUUCUUUGAGAAGGAGGAAUUAAUUGCAGAUGGGAAAAGCAGUUCAGAAAAUUUGGAAUUACCAUGCCAGAGGUUCUUCAUUUAGCUCCUUCUUGUACUUUAUUUUGCAGUGAUGAUUCCUUGAAUUCAAGUGAUAAGUGACACUUUAAGCCAGACCCUGCUCUCUGCACAACAGCUGCUUGUGACUGACCUGAAAGACAGAAACCAACACAAGCAGCAUUCUGCUGCUUUAGUUUUCUUCACUAUUUCUUCAACACAAGAACAUGCCCUGGAAAUCUUGUUGGUAUCCAGAAGCCUCAGGAUUUGAUAGCCAUAAGGAACAAAGCCAAAUCCAUGCAAUUCACAAGAAGUCUGGAGUGUAAGGGGAAGGAAAUGUAGACUGACAACUCUCUAGAUCCUACUUUUGUCUUCCUUGUACUGUUCCGGGCGUUUCCAUCAGUGGAAAGUGUGCAGAGCUGUGGUUUGACAGGGUUCUGCAGUGACUUUGCUUUGCAGCAGGUGGAUGACUCUACACUGUUCCAUGCACAAGAGAAAUAGAUUUGAGGCAUCUGUUUUCAGCAGAGUCCAGCCUGAUUUACAGAGAAGCAAAUUUCAGAUUAUUUCAGUGAACUCCUGCACAUCAUCCUAUGUUUGCAUAAAAGCAGUACGGCAAAAUUUUGUGCAUCAUACUCAAGACAUCUUCCUUGCAAGUGAAAUGGAGAGGAAUGAGUGUUUCCAAGUGUUAUCAGAAAAAGAUGUGGUACAGUGGAGAACCUGAUCAGAUCUGCAGAUGAUGGAUUUUCCUUGAGUCCUGAUAUGUCAGCUUACAUUUCUAACAACCAGAUCAGAGUAGACACACCUAAGAGAAAAGACAGAAUUUGGAAAGUAUGGAGAAGGUAUGAUUGUCCUUUACACCAGGUCACUACAGGUAUAGUUAAGUGAAUGGAUUCUGCAACAGGAUGCAUUUCACAAGCAUUUCAACUGUUCAGCCAGAAAAAUGCUGAAAGCUUUUAAUUCACACUCACUUGAGUGAGCUGAUCCUUUUCUGUGAUGAGUCACUUAAAAUCAGUAAUAAUUUACUUAUUGAGUGAUUCCUGUCUCCAGUCUUUUUUAACAUACUGAUGAAUUUUUAAUUUAAUUUGCUAAUGUGUUGGCAAAUUAUACCAGUGUAUAGAAAGGGUCCUUUAAGGACUGGCAACCCUUUCUUCAUUUGUGCCUCUUCCUAAGACUCCAUUAAAAACUCUUUCUGUCCUGGCUUCAGCUUUGCACAAGUGUCUUCCCCAUCUUCUCGCUCAUUGCCUGGAUUUGUCCCUGUUGUGCUGCCCAGAACAUUCGCAUGAGUCAAUCUCACAUGCUCAGACAAAGGCAAGUUGACAGGCCUGGAUAUGAUCUGAAAAUAUGAAGGUUUUGUUAAGACCACAAAACACAGAAAUCUCUGUUCAAUCUGUGCUGCAAAAACACACAAAGUUUUUUUAUAUUUCAAUAAUUUUGGUCUUACUUCUACUGACAUUUCAUACAAAAUAUUUCCAUGGCAGGCCACAUUUGUUCUUACAAAAGCAACUUUGGGAACACCAAUGGUAGAAGUUUUGUUUAGUUUUGAUAAUGAGGGGAAGGUUGAUGGAAAGUUUGUAUUUGGAUUUCAAUUUCUGCAAAGAGUAAUUGUAAAAAAAAUUAGAAGCUUAGAUUUGGACCAUCAGGAUGAAGGUUUAUGGGAACAUAGAGCUUUCAUUGGCCCUGCACAAAUGGCUAAACUUUGCUUUCUGUGGUUUCUAAACACAAAGCAAUCCUUGUCUCUCUGUCAGGAAAAAGAUGUAAUAUCAGAGGUAAUGUUAUACUGAGAUUUCACUUUGCUCAGACCAAGAUAUUUGUCAAUUACAGCCCAGCAGAACAUUUGCUAGUAUGAUGUUGCCAGAGUUUAAAUAAUUAAAAAUGAGUUGUCUUCAGCAAAUAAAUAAAGUACACCUAAUGGAGCAUUAUGGAA